RNAcentral lists this transfer RNA (74 nucleotides) under Acidimicrobiia bacterium. Its description in RNAcentral is "tRNA-Arg". It matches the Rfam family "tRNA". Rfam says of the family: Transfer RNA (tRNA) molecules are approximately 80 nucleotides in length. Their secondary structure includes four short double-helical elements and three loops (D, anti-codon, and T loops). Lineage: Bacteria; Bacillati; Actinomycetota; Acidimicrobiia. The record is from RNAcentral. RNAcentral also lists the same sequence under 3 other names.
GCGCCCGUAGCUCAAUUGGAUAGAGCGUCUGACUACGGAUCAGGAGGUUGGGUGUUCGAGUCGCCCCGGGCGCG